This 344-nucleotide unclassified non-coding RNA is filed under the name uncultured fungus. Its description in RNAcentral is "partial contains small subunit ribosomal RNA, internal transcribed spacer 1, and 5.8S ribosomal RNA". The stretch from base 1 to 73 matches the Rfam family "Eukaryotic small subunit ribosomal RNA", at positions 1759 to 1831 of the family's 1831-position model. The record is from RNAcentral. Lineage: Eukaryota; Fungi.
UCAAACUUGGUCAUUUAGAGGAAGUAAAAGUCGUAACAAGGUUUCCGUAGGUGAACCUGCGGAAGGAUCAUUAAUGAAUUAAGGAUGUGCUGGCCCAUGUGGUAAUUUCGCUGCAUGCUACGCAUUAAUGUGCACUCCGGUAAAAUUCUCUUAUUCACCCCUUUGUGCACCAUUAUCGUGCAGGCAAGGUCCAGGAAAAACUCAUCCGAGUUGUUGUUUCCCCCCUUGUCUGUCAUUUUUAAAAUACACCCACUUUAAAACAUAAAAAUAAAUGAAUCAUAAUAAAUAAAAAAACAACUUUCAACAACGGAUCUCUUGGCUCUCGCAUCGAUGAAGAACGCAGC